GCUGAAACGAGGACGGCCAGCGUCACAGCACGUCACGCUGGCGGAGAGGCACAGCGCUUCGGCCGUUAGACAUCACCCCCCACACCACACUGCCCCGCGGCCAGAGAUCAGAGCGGCGACUCAAGGCACGCAGGCGAGGGGCAGAGCGAAGCCCAGAGGCCCAGUCCCCACUUCUGGACCCACGACACCCUCCAGGACGCAUCGGGCGGCUGAAAAUCAGAGUCUAAUCAGCCUCCCCGCGUCAGCGAGCACCGCUUGCGCCCCAAGAAAGGAAAGCACUUUGCUCCUGUCAUACCCACUACCAUUUCUCAGGAAGGAAAAAACAGCAACAUAUACUGGACGACACCGCUUCCGUUAAAGCUGCUUACGCUAGAAGGAGGCGGAGAGAGCGCGUAGAGGCAUCCGCGUGCCUAUGCGCUAAAUCCCUCUAGAAGGAGACGCUGGAAGCUGUGGACACAGGUUGUCUUCCCGGGGAAAAACCGCGUGGCGUGGCUAGGAGGGCAGAGGCAGAGAGCAGCCUUUUCACCAUACAUUCUACCCACUGUUGGGAUUCUAAAGGAAAAUGUGAAUUUUAAAUAAGCAAGUAAGGGAGAACGUUUUUUAGAAGUCACUCUACAGAAGAACCCUAAUGUUCUUUACAAUCCUGCAGGAGAAGCCAGAACGGCCUACGUGGGGAAUUCCCCUUACAGGUUUUAAACAAAGAGCUUCUCAUUUUAACAUCUGUAAUGUUGACUGAGGUUAAGGUCUGCGAGUACCAGUUCUCAACUUGUCACUAACAACUCCCGUGGUUUCUCCUAUGGACCCCGUGUUUAAAAAGACUCUACCGAAACAAUGGCACUGUUACGGUCACAAGAGCACACUUGCUCAUUUGUAUUCAUCAGUGACUGAUAGAAUAUUCAGAGAGACCUUUCGAUCAGCAUGGAGUAACUGCUUUAUCACUAUGAGAUGAUGUCAUUCGAGGCAAAAUCAAAAGAAACUGGGCAAUGCUGUCAGCAGACGCAGCCUUAUUAGCUGAAAAUAUGUGGUGCUUCCAAAUACUAAAGAGUGACUCACAUACCCCAUUACUAUCUGCAUAGAGCCCGAAGGGCCUGGGAAGCAGUAAUUACCUAACAUUUAAAAGGAAUCUGGCUCUAAAAAAGAGGGGAGGGAGGGAAGGAAGGAAGGAAGGAAAGAGGGAAGGGUUGGAGGGUCAGUGGGUGGGUCCAGCUCUAAAUGCAGCCAUCAAUUGACAGGAAAUACAGAGGACAGAGGAUCGUGUUAAAUGGCACCACAGGGAUACAUUCAGCAAACUCCAGACUGGAGAAUUCUAUAGGGUAACCAAUGUGAUUUCUCUUCUUUUUGUUUUUAUUUUUUAAAGAUUUUAUUUUUACAUAGUCUCUGCCCAACCGACUGAGCCAGCCAGGCGCCCCUCGUUUCUUUGUUUCACAAAUAAAGCUGGAUGACUUC
Molecule: long non-coding RNA, 1446 nt
Organism: Felis catus (domestic cat)
Lineage: Eukaryota; Metazoa; Chordata; Mammalia; Carnivora; Felidae
Exons: 2
Source: RefSeq, a predicted model, not a curated record